Molecule: ribosomal RNA, 484 nt
Filed under: uncultured bacterium
Lineage: Bacteria
Description: partial 16S ribosomal RNA
Rfam family: Bacterial small subunit ribosomal RNA
Source: RNAcentral
AGUGAACGCUGGCGGCAGGCCUAACACAUGCAAGUCGAGCGGCAGCGCGGGGGCAACCCUGGCGGCGAGCGGCGGACGGGUGAGGAAUUCGUCGGAAUCUGCCUUUUUGUGGGGGAUAACGUAAGGAAACUUACGCUAAUACCGCAUACGUCCUACGGGAGAAAGUGGGGGACCGCAAGGCCUCACGCAGAAAGAUGAGCCGACGACCGAUUAGCUAGUUGGUGGGGUAAAGGCCCACCAAGGCGACGAUCGGUAGCUGGUCUGAGAGGAUGAUCAGCCACACUGGGACUGAGACACGGCCCAGACUCCUACGGGAGGCAGCAGUGGGGAAUAUUGGACAAUGGGCGCAAGCCUGAUCCAGCCAUGCCGCGUGUGUGAAGAAGGCCUUCGGGUUGUAAAGCACUUUUGUCCGGAAAGAAAUCCCUGGAGCUAAUACCUUCGGGGGAUGACGGUACCGGAAGAAUAAGCACCGGCUAACUUCGUG